RNAcentral lists this ribosomal RNA (458 nucleotides) under uncultured bacterium. RNAcentral describes it as "partial 16S ribosomal RNA". It matches the Rfam family "Bacterial small subunit ribosomal RNA", at positions 28 to 522 of the family's 1533-position model. The record is from RNAcentral.
GAUGAAUGCUGGCGGCGUGCUUAACACAUGCAAGUCGAGCGGUAAGGCCCUUUUAGGGUACACGAGCGGCGGACGGCUGAGUAACGCGUGGGAACAUGCCCUAAAGUGAGGAAUAAGCGCCAGAAAUGGAGUCUAAUGCCGCAUAUGAUCUCCGGAUUAAAGGAUUUAUCCGCUUUAGGAGUGGCCUGCGUACGAUUAGCUUGUUGGUGAGGUAAUGGCUUACCAAGGCGACGAUCGUUAGCUGGUCUGAGAGGAUGACCAGCCAGACUGGAACUGAGACACGGUCAGACUCCUACGGGAGGCAGCAGUGAGGAAUCUUCCACAAUGGGCGAAAGCCUGAUGGAGCAACGCCGCGUGCAGGAUGAAGGCCCUCGGGUCGUAAACUGCUUUUAUGAGUGAAGAAUAUGACGGUAACUCAUGAAUAAGCACCGGCUAACUACGUGCCAGCCGCCGCCGUA